RNAcentral lists this ribosomal RNA (497 nucleotides) under uncultured bacterium. Its description in RNAcentral is "partial 16S ribosomal RNA". It matches the Rfam family "Bacterial small subunit ribosomal RNA", at positions 28 to 507 of the family's 1533-position model. The record is from RNAcentral.
GAUGAACGCUGGCGGCGUGCCUAAUACAUGCAAGUCGAGCGAACAGAUGAGGAGCUUGCUCCUCUGACGUUAGCGGCGGACGGGUGAGUAACACGUGGAUAACCUACCUAUAAAACUGGGAUAACUUCGGGAAACCGGAGCUAAUACCGGAUAAUAUAUUGAACCGCAUGGUUCAAUAGUGAAAGACGGUUUUGCUGUCACUUAUAGAUGGAUCCGCGCCGCAUUAGCUAGUUGGUAAGGUAACGGCUUACCAAGGCAACGAUGCGUAGCCGACCUGAGAGGGUGAUCGGACACACUGGAACUGAGACACGGUCCAGACUCCUACGGGAGGCAGCAGUAGGGAAUCUUCCGCAAUGGGCGAAAGCCUGACGGAGCAACGCCGCGUGAGUGAUGAAGGUCUUCGGAUCGUAAAACUCUGUUAUUAGGGAAGAACAAAUGUGUAAGUAACUAUGCACGUCUUGACGGUACCUAAUCAGAAAGCCACGGCUAACUACGUG